AUUGAACGCUGGCGGCAGGCCUAACACAUGCAAGUCGAGCGGAUGAAGGGAGCUUGCUCCUGGAUUCAGCGGCGGACGGGUGAGUAAUGACUAGGAAUCUGCCUGGUAGUGGGGGAUAACGUCCGGAAACGGGCGCUAAUACCGCAUACGUCCUGAGGGAGAAAGUGGGGGAUCUUCGGACCUCACGCUAUCAGAUGAGCCUAGGUCGGAUUAGCUAGUUGGUGGGGUAAAGGCCUACCAAGGCGACGAUCCGUAACUGGUCUGAGGGGAUGAUCAGUCACAGGGGAACUGAGCCGCGGUCCAGGCUCUUAGGGGAGGACGGAGUGGGGAAUUUUGGAAAAGGGGGGAAAGCUUGAUCCAGCCUGGGCGGGUGGGUGAAGAAGGUUUUCGGGUUGUAAAACCCUUUAAGUUGGGAGGAAGGGCAUGAAGUUAAACCAUGGCUGUUUGACGGUAACCAACAAAAAAACCCCGGCUAACUUCGGG
Molecule: ribosomal RNA, 483 nt
Filed under: uncultured bacterium
Lineage: Bacteria
Description: partial 16S ribosomal RNA
Rfam family: Bacterial small subunit ribosomal RNA
Source: RNAcentral